AGCAGUGUAAUCUCCAGAAGUCUCUUGUUCAAUAUCGGGAUUUAAACUUGACAUCGUACAAAAUUUUUUAAAGAGAAUACCAACAAUUCUACAUAAAAAAAUAAUUGCAACAUGUUAUCUUAAAAUUUUUUUUGUAACACCUUACUCUUCGCUUGAAGAUUGUCCAUUUAAAGCAGCCACCAAGUCAAAUUCAACAUCGAAUUGGCAAUACAAAGAGGAUCGACCAGGAUGCUCUAAUUGAUAGAGUUAAAAUUCUUUUUUUAAACGAAGGAAACUUAUAGGCUUCUCAUAAGAAAUCCAAAUGAUACUGAUUAAACAUAUUAACUAUAAUACGUCGUGCACACAACCAACAUUAAGAAUAAGUCAUACUGAUCAGAAUAAAAAUAAAGAGAACCUUCUCCAAAAUCGACG
Molecule: long non-coding RNA, 411 nt
Organism: Hylaeus volcanicus
Lineage: Eukaryota; Metazoa; Arthropoda; Insecta; Hymenoptera; Colletidae
Exons: 3
Source: RefSeq, a predicted model, not a curated record